GCUAUCUGUUGCCAGCAAGUGAUGUUGGGGACUCAGAUGGAACUGCCGGUGACAAACCGGAGGAAGGUGGGGACGACGUCAAGUCAUCAUGGCCCUUAUGUCCUGGGCUACACACGUGCUACAAUGGCCGGUACAGAGCGCAGCGAAGCCGCGAGGCAAAGCGAAUCGCAAAAAGCCGGUCUCAGUACGGAUUGGAGUCUGAAACCCGACUCCAUGAAGUUGGAAUCGCUAGUAAUCGCGCAUCAGCAUGGCGCGGUGAAUACGUUCCCGGGCCUU
RNAcentral lists this ribosomal RNA (276 nucleotides) under uncultured Spirochaeta sp. Its description in RNAcentral is "partial 16S ribosomal RNA". It matches the Rfam family "Bacterial small subunit ribosomal RNA", at positions 1107 to 1382 of the family's 1533-position model. The record is from RNAcentral. Lineage: Bacteria; Pseudomonadati; Spirochaetota; Spirochaetia; Spirochaetales; Spirochaetaceae.